UCGCGCUACACUUCCACGAAACAGAUUUAAUUGAGCCUUUAUAGUAUGCUUAUUGAUUCAUUCAUUAAAAGUGGAUGCCUUUUUCGGCAUGCAUUCCACAAUGGGAAUUCAGCUAUUGACCUUGUGAAAGUUUGGGAGGAGUACAGUUAUUAUGGUCACAUGAUGGAUUACAGUCCUAAUUCCUCUCCAAAAGAUGAUCUGGAGACCUUCCACAGUGCCCUGCUGAAAAAUACCCCAUAACGUUGGGCAAUUUCUGUGCCUCAGUCUAGCAGCAGGGGACGUAUGGAUGGAAGCGAUGGAACCUUGGGUGUCAAACCCUGUUUACAACAGGGCUUGCUGUGUUUAGUCUCUUCAUUCCAGAAUGCCUUCCAUCAUUCUUUGGAAUUUACUGUACCUUUUUGUUGUUACAGUAUAUUUUAUGCUGCCAUUUGCAAUACUAUGUAAAAGUUCUGAGUGAGUCCCUAAUAUAUUCAGUCAUUGGUAAGCCUGCAAUCUGGUUUCUCUUUGUUUGCUUGAUAGUGAUGUUAUUGCCACUACACAUACCUAGACAUAAUGUACUGAUCUUCAACAUCUCAUAUUAUUUCUGCUUCUUACAAUAAAUCCUUGU
Long non-coding RNA from Oncorhynchus tshawytscha (Chinook salmon), 607 nucleotides. The record is from Ensembl. Lineage: Eukaryota; Metazoa; Chordata; Actinopteri; Salmoniformes; Salmonidae.